UUCAGUAUCUCUGCUAAGGGAAACUCCCUAAAAGGAGUCAUGGAGAGUCAGAUGUGACUGAACAACAACAAAGGAAGAUAGUAGAAUAAUUGGUAGAAUUUCUGAGUUCAAAGAGACAAGAAAUCUGUCAUAUGGGAUUAUGGAAUCUCAGGGGUUGAAGGGACCUCAGUAAUCAUCUGAUAACCACUAUACCUGAAGUAGGAAUCUAGCAGGGGCUCCUCAAUAUAUAUAUAUGAAUGACAUAUGAUCCCUGGACGUGAUGCUCUAGUGAGGAGGAUAUGACAGACAUAUAAAUAAUUCCAAGGAUAAAUUCGUAAAGGAGAAGCAGAUAAAAUGUCGCAAGGUCUGAGAAAGGAAAGAGCAUUUCCACCUGGCAAUUGGUGUAAGCUUCAAGAGAUUUAAAAAGGUCUUCAAAGACACAAAUACAAAAGAGAGGAAAAGAGCACUGUUUUCA
Molecule: long non-coding RNA, 454 nt
Filed under: Monodelphis domestica (gray short-tailed opossum)
Lineage: Eukaryota; Metazoa; Chordata; Mammalia; Didelphimorphia; Didelphidae
Description: lncRNA (ENSMODG00000030012.2)
Source: RNAcentral